GUAUGCGAAGGCGGAGGCUAAGCCAACCAUCUGAGCUAUUCGACCUCUUGACUUAGGACUACAACAUUGGCACUCUCUAUGAGAAAGCCUCCUAUCCAUACAUACUCCCUCUUGACUGGGGGGCUGUGUUGUGGUGUAGAGAGGGAUUCUUUAGUCCCACAUUAGUUAUGAGUCAAGAGAGAAUAUGGCUUAUAUAGAUUGAAACAUUCUCUCCCA
RNAcentral lists this long non-coding RNA (216 nucleotides) under Elaeis guineensis (African oil palm). RNAcentral's name for it is "long non-coding RNA (EGUI_LNC047477)". The record is from RNAcentral. Lineage: Eukaryota; Viridiplantae; Streptophyta; Magnoliopsida; Arecales; Arecaceae.